Molecule: ribosomal RNA, 253 nt
Filed under: uncultured bacterium
Lineage: Bacteria
Description: partial 16S ribosomal RNA
Rfam family: Bacterial small subunit ribosomal RNA
Source: RNAcentral
GACAGAGGGUGCAAACGUUGUUCGGAAUUACUGGGCGUAAAGCGUGCGUAGGCUGCUACAUAAGUCGGAUGUGAAAGCCCCGGGCUCAACCCGGGAAGUGCACUCGAUACUGCGUAGCUUGAGUCUCGGAGAGGUUGGUGGAAUUCUCGGUGUAGAGGUGAAAUUCGUAGAUAUCGGGAGGAACACCGGUGGCGAAGGCGGCGAUCUGGGUAGAUACUGACGCUGAGGUGCGAAAGCGUGGGGAGCAAACAGG